Molecule: ribosomal RNA, 253 nt
Filed under: uncultured bacterium
Lineage: Bacteria
Description: partial 16S ribosomal RNA
Rfam family: Bacterial small subunit ribosomal RNA
Source: RNAcentral
UACGGAGGGGGCUAGCGCUGUUCGGAAUUACUGGGCGUAAAGCGCACGUAGGCGGCUUUGUAAGUUAGAGGUGAAAGCCCGGGGCUCAACCCCGGAACUGCCUUUAAGACUGCAUCGCUUGAAUCCAGGAGAGGUGAGUGGAAUUCCGAGUGUAGAGGUGAAAUUCGUAGAUAUUCGGAAGAACACCAGUGGCGAAGGCGGCUCACUGGACUGGUAUUGACGCUGAUGUGCGAAAGCGUGGGGAGCAAACAGG